Molecule: ribosomal RNA, 488 nt
Filed under: uncultured bacterium
Lineage: Bacteria
Description: bacterial SSU rRNA
Rfam family: Bacterial small subunit ribosomal RNA
Source: RNAcentral
GACGACGCUGGCGGCGUGGAUUAGGCAUGCAAGUCGAACGGUAGGAUACCUUCGGGUAUCUGAGAGUGGCGAACGGGUGAGUAACACGUAGGUGAUCUACCCUCAAGAUUGGGACAACCCAGGGAAACUUGGGCUAAUACCGGAUGAAAGCAGCAGUGAUGUUGUUUGAAAGGUGGCGUAAGCUGCCGUUUGGGGGAUGAGCCUGCGCUCUAUUAGUUAGUUGGCGGGGUAAAGGCCCACCAAGGCGAUGAUAGAUAGGCGGCCUUAACGGGUGGUCGCCCACACUGGGAUUGAGAUACGGCCCAGACUCCUACGGGAGGCAGCAGUCGAGAAUAGUCUACAAUGGCCGAAAGGCUGAUAGUGCGACGCCGCGUGAACGAAGAAGCCCUUCGGGGUGUAAAGUUCUUUUAUAUGUGAGCAGUGCUUUCUAUGUGAACAGCAUGGGGAGAGAGAUAUUAGCAUAUGAAUAAGCAACGGCUAACUCCGUG